UUCACAAUACUAGAGGGCUCUGGCAUUCACUCCACAGAACAGGUACAGCCUGAGCAGUGGCAAUACAAGAUUCACCACAAGACUCUGCCAGUGUGCUUUAUUCUUCAGGAAUCACCAUUAAGGGAAAAAAGAAUAGUUUACUUUUUAUUUUCAGUCAAUUCUGGGUGUCU
Molecule: small RNA, 170 nt
Filed under: Gopherus agassizii (Agassiz's desert tortoise)
Lineage: Eukaryota; Metazoa; Chordata; Testudines; Testudinidae
Description: TUC338 (ENSGAGG00000018231.1)
Source: RNAcentral